This 546-nucleotide long non-coding RNA is filed under the name Mus spicilegus (steppe mouse). RNAcentral's name for it is "lncRNA (ENSMSIG00000013649.1)". Lineage: Eukaryota; Metazoa; Chordata; Mammalia; Rodentia; Muridae. The record is from RNAcentral.
UUAGGCUUCAAAAGAAUAUGUUCCUGCCACACUGAAGCUAAGUGGGCUGUUCAAAACAUCAGUGGCUUUAUGGAUAUAGGCUACGUUUCCUCUGCUGUGCCUCAAACAACAUGGACACUGGGUCAGUGUGAUGAGUGAAGAGUAGCCCAGCUACUCCAACAAACAAGAAGAGCAGUUCAGCUACUCCAACAAACAAGAAAAAAAGCUAAGAAAUUAGCACACAGUGGCAAGCUGAAAAUAUGUCAGGUACACUGAGGGGCUAGGUCACCCUGAAUAUCAAAAAUUCAAGGCUCUGCAUUAGGCUUCUGGAAACACCAUUCUAGAAGGCUAGAGAAUCUCUUCAAAAGCUCUCCCAGGGGAUGUCAAUAAAUUUCUGGGAAUGUUGAAUCGAAUGCUAUGACAAUGAAUUAUGACGUUACUGCUAGAUCUGGUGGCAGAGAAGUAUUGAGCUUACAGUUGUGCAAAGGCGAAUUCAGAAGCAAUUCAAGCCAUACUCUGGCCUCUGUGCAGAAUCAAAUCCAUCACACAGAGGAGAUAAGACAGUGA